RNAcentral lists this ribosomal RNA (467 nucleotides) under uncultured bacterium. RNAcentral's name for it is "bacterial SSU rRNA". It matches the Rfam family "Bacterial small subunit ribosomal RNA", at positions 335 to 797 of the family's 1533-position model. The record is from RNAcentral.
ACUCCUACGGGAGGCAGCAGUGAGGAAUAUUGCGCAAUGGAGGCAACUCUGACGCAGCCAUGCCGCGUGCAGGAAGACGGCCCUACGGGUUGUAAACUGCUUUUAUCCGGGAAGAAUCCCCAGUUCGUGAACUGGGUUGACGGUACCGGAGGAAUAAGCACCGGCUAACUCCGUGCCAGCAGCCGCGGUAAUACGGAGGGUGCAAGCGUUAUCCGGAUUCAUUGGGUUUAAAGGGUGCGUAGGCGGAACGGUAAGUCAGUGGUGAAAUCCUGCAGCUUAACUGUAGAACUGCCAUUGAUACUGUCGUUCUUGAGUGCGCUUGACGUGGGCGGAAUGUGCCGUGUAGCGGUGAAAUGCUUAGAUAUGGCACAGAACACCAAUUGCGAAGGCAGCUCACGAAAGCGAAACUGACGCUGAGGCACGAAAGCGUGGGGAUCGAACAGGAUUAGAUACCCUGGUAGCGAGUA